This is a long non-coding RNA of Scophthalmus maximus (turbot), 1176 nucleotides long. RefSeq lists it as uncharacterized. The record is from RefSeq and is a predicted model, not a curated record. The transcript has 2 exons. Lineage: Eukaryota; Metazoa; Chordata; Actinopteri; Pleuronectiformes; Scophthalmidae.
GUCUCUCUCGAGGUGUCAUAGUCGCGGGGAGAUGACGACAUUACUCAAAGCUAAAUACACAACAGAAACUGGGGAUGGGCAGAAUGAACACUGUCAACCUGUUGAUCUGUGUAGCGAGCCAGAAGUCUCCUCAAUAUUGAGCUCUAAUGAUAAAUACUUCUGCUUAAGACGUCCACGGUUUCCUUCUUCCUGAAUCAUCAUCCACUCCAUCAAUUAUUCCAUUUCAGCUGGCGUUUCACAAACAGUACUCCAAUACAACCAGACAGGUGUGCAAGAAGACAGAGUAUGCAUGUGGACAACUGCAAUUCGGAGAGCUGUGAUGUAACGCUUCCGUCUCAAAGAGAUGUUUAGUCACCUGAAGGAUCUGUAGACCAGUCUGGACCUGAGGAUACGGCCAUUACAGCUGCAGGACGAGAACGGUCGACACGUUGACGAUCUCGUCUUCUUCAACUUUUUCAUGACGACCCCUCAGAGGCGCUUUGUGGGUCCUCGGGGAAUGACACCUGCUCGUUCUGCGGGAAGAGCACAUUAACCUUCCGCUUGGGUUAAGACGAGAAAAAUUAACAAGCGCUAUUUUUGAGUUAUUCUGAGUUUAUUUUUAUAUCGUAUCUUAUCUGACUUGCUACUAUAUCACCUGCUCAUGAGUUCUGAGUGUAUGAACGUUAAAGUGUAACAGAAAAAAUACAGAAUUGCAAAAAAGCCUCAAGCAGCGGACGAUGGCGAAGAGUCGAGGCCGGGCAGUAAUGGAGGGAACAAGAGAUGAUAAACUCGGCGCGGGACCUUAUUUUUCUCGGGCAAAAUCAUGACUGCGAACAGUUACUGACAACUUGGUUGUAUGAUCAAUGUGGAGUAAGAUGUGCAUUUUCUAUAAUUCAUAAGACCCAAAAAAACUUUCCGGGACGUGGCAGUUCAUUCCUACAUUGGGACCACAGAGCAGGAGUCAGGACACACCAUUCUGUAAGGGGAAGAAGAAAAAGGUUCAUACAUUGUGGGGCUUUUUUGUUCUGAUUUAUUACAAAUAAACCAAGAGCAGUUAUCAUUAAGUGAUAUGGACUGACAGGUCGUAUGGUGAUUAGACAGUUGUCAUUCCCAGGUGGAGUAAAGACACUUCACUGCGGAACAGUUACUGUAUUUCACCCACUUUUUAAAUGAAGACAUAAUUGUGUGUAAAAUAUA